RNAcentral lists this ribosomal RNA (385 nucleotides) under uncultured bacterium. Its description in RNAcentral is "bacterial SSU rRNA". It matches the Rfam family "Bacterial small subunit ribosomal RNA", at positions 30 to 416 of the family's 1533-position model. The record is from RNAcentral.
AUUGAACGCUGGCGGCAUGCUUUACACAUGCAAGUCGAACGGCAGCACGGGGGCAACCCUGGUGGCGAGUGGCGAACGGGUGAGUAAUAUAUCGGAACGUACCCGGAAAUGGGGGAUAACGUAGCGAAAGUUACGCUAAUACCGCAUAUGCCCUAAGGGGAAAGCGGGGGAUUCGCAAGAACCUCGCGUUUUCGGAGCGGCCGAUAUCGGAUUAGCUAGUAGGUGAGGUAAAGGCUCACCUAGGCGACGAUCCGUAGCUGGUCUGAGAGGACGACCAGCCACACUGGAACUGAGACACGGUCCAGACUCCUACGGAGGCAGCAGUGGGAAUUUUGGACAAUGGGCGCAAGCCUGAUCCAGCCAUGCCGCGUGAGUGAAGAAGGCC